Molecule: ribosomal RNA, 853 nt
Filed under: Cobetia marina
Lineage: Bacteria; Pseudomonadati; Pseudomonadota; Gammaproteobacteria; Oceanospirillales; Halomonadaceae
Description: bacterial SSU rRNA
Rfam family: Bacterial small subunit ribosomal RNA
Source: RNAcentral
GGGGGGGGGUUCCUUAAUACAUGCAAGUCGAGCGGACAGAAGGGAGCUUGCUCCCGGAUGUUAGCGGCGGACGGGUGAGUAACACGUGGGUAACCUGCCUGUAAGACUGGGAUAACUCCGGGAAACCGGAGCUAAUACCGGAUAGUUCCUUGAACCGCAUGGUUCAAGGAUGAAAGACGGUUUCGGCUGUCACUUACAGAUGGACCCGCGGCGCAUUAGCUAGUUGGUGAGGUAACGGCUCACCAAGGCGACGAUGCGUAGCCGACCUGAGAGGGUGAUCGGCCACACUGGGACUGAGACACGGCCCAGACUCCUACGGGAGGCAGCAGUAGGGAAUCUUCCGCAAUGGACGAAAGUCUGACGGAGCAACGCCGCGUGAGUGAUGAAGGUUUUCGGAUCGUAAAGCUCUGUUGUUAGGGAAGAACAAGUGCAAGAGUAACUGCUUGCACCUUGACGGUACCUAACCAGAAAGCCACGGCUAACUACGUGCCAGCAGCCGCGGUAAUACGUAGGUGGCAAGCGUUGUCCGGAAUUAUUGGGCGUAAAGGGCUCGCAGGCGGUUUCUUAAGUCUGAUGUGAAAGCCCCCGGCUCAACCGGGGAGGGUCAUUGGAAACUGGGAAACUUGAGUGCAGAAGAGGAGAGUGGAAUUCCACGUGUAGCGGUGAAAUGCGUAGAGAUGUGGAGGAACACCAGUGGCGAAGGCGACUCUCUGGUCUGUAACUGACGCUGAGGAGCGAAAAGCGUGGGGAGCGAACAGGAUUAGAUACCCUGGUAGUCCACGCCGUAAAACCAUGAGUGCUAUGUGUUAGGGGGGUUUCCGCCCCUUAAUGCUGCAGCUAACGCAUUGACCAC